AACGAACGCUGGCGGCAGGCCUAACACAUGCAAGUCGAGCGAGCGGCGGACGGGUGAGUAGCGCGUGGGAAUUUUCCUCAGGUACGGAACAACUCAGGGAAACUUGGGCUAAUACCGUAUGGGAUAAGCCCGCGUCAGAUUAGGUAGUUGGUGGGGUAACGGCCUACCAAGCCUGCGAUCUGUAGCUGGUCUGAGAGGACGAUCAGCCACACUGGGACUGAGACACGGCCCAGACUCCUACGGGAGGCAGCAGUGGGGAAUCUUGCGCAAUGGGCGAAAGCCUGACGCAGCCAUGCCGCGUGAAUGAUGAAGGUCUUAGGAUUGUAAAGUUCUUUCGCCCGUGAUGACGGUAACGGGAGAAGAAGCCCCGGCUAACUUCGUGCCAGCAGCCGCGGUAAUACGAAGGGGGCUAGCGUUGUUCGGAAUUACUGGGCGUAAAGCGCGCGUAGGCGGUUUUGCAAGCCAGAGGUGAAAUGCCUGAGCUCAACUUAGGAAUUGCCUUUGGGACUGCGAGGCUUGAGGACUGGAGAGGUGAGUGGAAUUCCCAGUGUAGAGGUGAAAUUCGUAGAUAUUGGGAAGAACACCAGUGGCGAAGGCGGCUCACUGGCCAGUUUCUGACGCUGCAGCGCGAAAGCGUGGGGAUCAAACAGGAUUAGAUACCCUGGUAGUCCACGCUGUAAACUAUGAAUACUAAGUGUCGGUGCCGCAGCUAACGCAUUAAGUAU
This 725-nucleotide ribosomal RNA is filed under the name uncultured Pseudomonadota bacterium. Its description in RNAcentral is "bacterial SSU rRNA". It matches the Rfam family "Bacterial small subunit ribosomal RNA", at positions 28 to 867 of the family's 1533-position model. Lineage: Bacteria; Pseudomonadati; Pseudomonadota. The record is from RNAcentral.